AUGAACGCUGGCGGCGUGCCUAAUACAUGCCAGUCGAGCGGACGGACGAGAAGCUUGCUUCUCUGAUGUUAGCGGCGGACGGGUGAGUAACACGUGGAUAACCUACCUAUAAGACUGGGAUAACUUCGGGAAACCGGAGCUAAUACCGGAUAAUAUUUUGAACCGCAUGGUUCAAAAGUGAAAGACGGUCUUGCUGUCACUUAUAGAUGGAUCCGCGCUGCAUUAGCUAGUUGGUAAGGUAACGGCUUACCAAGGCAACGAUGCAUAGCCGACCUGAGGGGGUGAUCGGCCACACUGGAACUGAGACACGGUCCAGACGCCUACGGGAGGCAGCAGUAGGGAAUCUUCCGCAAUGGGCGAAAGCCUGACGGAGCAACGCCGCGUGAGUGAUGAAGGUCUUCGGAUCGUAAAACUCUGUUAUUAGGGAAGAACAUAUGUGUAAGUAACUGUGCACAUCUUGACGGUACCUAAUCAGAAAGCCACGGCUAACUACGUG
RNAcentral lists this ribosomal RNA (496 nucleotides) under uncultured bacterium. Its description in RNAcentral is "partial 16S ribosomal RNA". It matches the Rfam family "Bacterial small subunit ribosomal RNA", at positions 29 to 507 of the family's 1533-position model. The record is from RNAcentral.